This 484-nucleotide ribosomal RNA is filed under the name uncultured bacterium. Its description in RNAcentral is "partial 16S ribosomal RNA". It matches the Rfam family "Bacterial small subunit ribosomal RNA", at positions 29 to 507 of the family's 1533-position model. The record is from RNAcentral.
AUUGAACGCUGGCGGCAUGCUUUACACAUGCAAGUCGAGCGGCAGCGCGGCCUUCGGGCUGGCGGCGAGCGGCGAACGGGUGAGUAAUGCAUCGGAAAAUGCUCAGUCGUGGGGGAUAUCACUUCGAAAGAAGUGCUAAUACCGCAUACGUCCUGAGGGGGAAAGCGGGGGAUCGCAAGACCUCGCGCGAUUGGAGUGGCCGAUGUCAGAUUAGCUAGUUGGUGGGGUAAAGGCCUACCAAGGCGACGAUCUGUAGCUGGUCUGAGAGGAUGAUCAGCCACACUGGGACUGAGACACGGCCCAGACUCCUACGGGAGGCAGCAGUGGGGAAUUUUGGACAAUGGGGGCAACCCUGAUCCAGCCAUGCCGCGUGGGGGAAGAAGGCCUUCGGGUUGUAAAGCACUUUCGGCAGGAACGAAACGGUGGGCUCUAACAUAGUCCGCUAAUGACGGUACCUGAAGAAGAAGCACCGGCUAACUACGUG